This 254-nucleotide ribosomal RNA is filed under the name uncultured bacterium. RNAcentral's name for it is "partial 16S ribosomal RNA". It matches the Rfam family "Bacterial small subunit ribosomal RNA", at positions 524 to 776 of the family's 1533-position model. The record is from RNAcentral.
UACGGGGUGUGCAAGCGUUAUCCGGAAUCACUGGGUUUAAAGGGUGCGUAGGCGGUCAGAUAAGUCAGUUGUGAAAUACCCCGGCUUAACCGGCGGAACUGCGAUUGAUACUGUUUGACUUGAAUCAGGUUGAGGUAGGCGGAAUGUGGCAUGUAGCGGUGAAAUGCUUAGAUAUGCCAUAGAACACCGAUUGCGAAGGCAGCUUGCUGGACCUGUAUUGACGCUGAGGCACGAAAGCGUGGGGAGCAAACAGG